This 1653-nucleotide long non-coding RNA is filed under the name Sorghum bicolor (sorghum). Its description in RNAcentral is "long non-coding RNA (SBIC_LNC010077)". Lineage: Eukaryota; Viridiplantae; Streptophyta; Magnoliopsida; Poales; Poaceae. The record is from RNAcentral.
UUCGUAUUUCCUGAUAACCCCCAGCAGAAAUAGACAAACACCAAAACUUGUGGAAAUCUGUCAGAUGAAACCCUAAGUCUAGGUGUCGGUUGCAUUUGGAUCCUUUUUCAUGAUUAGUUGACGGUUAAAUGUGAGCAUUAGGGACCGUCAACAAGCUCCCCCAAGCUUAACCUUUGCUCGUCCCUGAGUAAAGAUGGACUCAAGAGUUUCUGCUAUGGUUUUAUGCCUUAAAGGUACACAUGCGUUCAACAAGAUCUCAUCUCUGGGUUAGGAUAAACUGUUAAUAUUUAAACUCACUCAUUUUUCCUUCCACCAUAGGGCUUGCAACCAUCACUUGUGUCUUGAGCAGUUAAAAGAUAGAACGGUCUAGUCAAGCGCCAUGUCUCUUGUUCUUCGAUUAACUAUAGCUCUGGAGUUUUUGCCGAUUUUCAAAUAAAACUCAGAGAUUCCUUGUAUGACUCUCUCUAGUCUCUCUUUUGUGGUAUUUCUAGAUCCUUACCAAGGCAGUAAUGGUGUAUGCCUUCUCUCAAAGUAAGUGGUAUUUUUAGUAUGAGGCAUAGUGGUAUUGCCUUCUCUCUCACCCUACUCUAAUAAGGUUUUGAUAUCUGGAGCUCAUAGGUGGGAGACAGCUAAUACAUACUUACAAGACACUUAUUGCAUAGUCAAACCAUGGAUCCAGAAGAACAAGUCAAUAAGUCAAAUCAAGAUGUGCAUGUGUGGCGAAUGAACGGUGAUAAUGGUGAAAAUAAUGGUGAAAGUCUAAUUCUACUUUUGCUCUUUUGAGGGGGUACAUACCUUUCUUGCACUUGAGGCUUUUGAGGGGAAUGAGACGCUCUAUAUUUUAUUUUUCUUUUCUCUCAGGUGGGUAUCUUGUACCCCUAAUUCUACUGUCGGACACUUGUCUAUUUUUACCUCUCGUCUCACUUUUUCUUUUUUUUCGAAGUUUCGGGCACUUGCUCCUUUUUAUUUCCUCGUAUUCACUUUUUUAGAGCACUCACCCUCCUGGAAUAAUGUAGCAAGUGGUAGUAACCAAAAUAUCUCGAGCAUUUAUUACACGGGGAAUAACAGGGAUAGGAUAAUGUUUUUGGCUAUUCUCUCCUAGAUAGGAGUAGAAUAAUUUUGGGUGAAUCUUGAUAUGGAAAUGAGUGGAUGUAUGUGGAUGCGUACUUCUGGAGUAGAAGCAGCAUGUAUGAGUGAAUGUGCAAGUGAAUCUUGAUUUUAACCGCAUGACAAGCUCCUAAGGGUCUACACAGCUUGACCACACUCAAUGCUCAUAAGCAAUAAAAAGUAAAUGUAUGGUUCAUAGUCUAAUAAGCAUGUAUAUAUGGCUGUGGUAGGAUUUUAAACUCUCAUCAUAUAGGAACUCAUCAUGCAAUAUUUUAAAGAUUUUCAAAGAUAAAAUUCUCCAGAAUUCUAGUAUCUCUAGGAACAGAUAAACAACAGAUCAACCUUCCCAUAUCGUAUCUGUUAACGACUUAAACUUUUGAUCAGGUACUCUUCCCGCAAAUUCAGGUUUAGAGCAAGCUUUAAAUUAUAACAAUUAUGCCUAAACUUAAGGGAGAGCUCAAAUUUGAAAACUAGGUACUUGGCAGAGCAACUAUUCAUCAUAUCCAUGUAAGAGUUUAUCAUUAAAGUUCAGUUUAGCAUAGACAC